This 474-nucleotide long non-coding RNA is filed under the name Calidris pugnax (ruff). RNAcentral's name for it is "lncRNA (ENSCPUG00000016437.1)". The record is from RNAcentral. Lineage: Eukaryota; Metazoa; Chordata; Aves; Charadriiformes; Scolopacidae.
AUGCAGAGAACAAUAUUACCCUUUUCAAGCAUCCUCAAGGUUUGGUGUUCACAACGGGAGAUGCAGCUGCGCAUUUAUUGCAGGGACCAGCUGGAAGAACCACCCAAAAAUGUCAGGCACAUGCUUAAGGACCCACUUUGCAGGGGGAAGAAGGGGAUGCUUCACAGAAAGCUGAGGAGGCACGUGUGCGUGUGUGAGCCACAACUGGAUGUCGCUGUUAGUCAAAGCUCUGAGACAAAGCCUGCUAUACAGAGAUCUGUGGCAAGAACAGCUCUGGAAAUAAAUAGAAAAGGUUAUUUAUUUAUUUAUUGGAGGAACCGAGAAGAGGGACCCUAUUUACAAAGGCAGUCUGGCUCCAGAACAGUUUGUUUUCCACGAGUUCAUCAUCUCCAAGGUCACCCCGGUGUGCGUCCCAGCCAUACCUCCUGUGCCUUCAGAACCCCACCAAGGGUGGAAAGGGGGGAUUUUGCUUGA